GCUUCAGCCUGUUUGGUCUUGAUCAAUCCAGAAAACACACUCGCUGACGUCCUUCUAUCAUUAAGUCGUAGGCAGCGACAAAGCAAGUAGGCGAAGGGACUUUUCACUCGGGAAAGCUCAGAAUCGUCACAGGACUGCCUUGAGAACCUGCACAAAGGGACGGCUUGAGACCUGCAGGCCCUUGGGUCAACAGCCAGUCUUGAACUGGAGAGGUGACAAAGUCACAGUUACUACUAAUACUACUGAAGAUUGGUGCCUGCAGUCAUAAUUGAAGAUGAGACGAUAGUUUAAUUAGAGCAUACCUGUGUCACUGAUGCCGGAGGAAUCCUUCUCUAGCCCAAUUCAGCAACCUUCAUCAGCUUCCCGUUUUGCAAGGCACAUCUCGUCUGGUCUGGUCCUGGCUGACUUCUCCAUUUCACUACCUAACACUUUUUUCUCCUUCACCCUAAACUCAACAUGUCACCUCUCACAUCCAGCCCUCACACAUGCUGCUGCUUCCCCACCAUCAGACCCCCCUCAAUUCGUGCACAUGCACGUACACACACACACACACACACACAUCUUUUUUUCCUCCGUGUGCACUCCAAAAUACUUUCAUUUUUUUUGACAAAACUUAUUUUUGUCAUCUACCAUGUGUUAGCCACCUUACCAUGCUGAUGGCAGCUCUAUCUUACCUUUCUUAAAAAUGGCUCCUUUGGGGUGUGUGGGUGGCUCAGUUGGUUAAGCAACCGCCUUUGGCUCAGGUCAUGAUCCUGGAGUCCCACGAUCGAAUCCCACAUGUGGCUCCCUGCUUGGCGGGGAGUCUGCUUCUCCCUCUGACCUCUCCCUUCUCAGGCUCUCUCUUUCAAAUAAAUAAAUAAAAUCUUUUUAAAAAAUGA
Mustela lutreola (European mink) is the source of this 878-nucleotide long non-coding RNA. RefSeq lists it as uncharacterized. The transcript is spliced from 3 exons. The record is from RefSeq and is a predicted model, not a curated record. NCBI's taxonomy places the organism in Eukaryota, Metazoa, Chordata, Mammalia, Carnivora, Mustelidae.